RNAcentral lists this small RNA (93 nucleotides) under Arabidopsis thaliana (thale cress). RNAcentral's name for it is "ATSL151060". Lineage: Eukaryota; Viridiplantae; Streptophyta; Magnoliopsida; Brassicales; Brassicaceae. The record is from RNAcentral.
AAAAUUUGCAAGUUUUAAUAUAUAUUACUUUUAAAAAAUAAAUCGUCCCGCGGUAUACCGCGGGUUAAAAUCUAGUUUAAUCAUUAAGAUUGA